GCCGCCGUCGGGACGUCGUCGAUGUCGACCCCGCCGACGAUCUCGAAGUACAUGACGACGGCGUCGUCGCCCUCCAGGCCGAACUGCACCCCGUUGGCGCCGAACCCCUU
Molecule: small RNA, 110 nt
Filed under: Aeromicrobium marinum DSM 15272
Lineage: Bacteria; Bacillati; Actinomycetota; Actinomycetes; Propionibacteriales; Nocardioidaceae
Description: Mycobacterium sRNA Ms_AS-1
Rfam family: Mycobacterium sRNA Ms_AS-1
Source: Rfam by way of RNAcentral